Molecule: transfer RNA, 121 nt
Filed under: Thermofilum sp.
Lineage: Archaea; Thermoproteati; Thermoproteota; Thermoprotei; Thermofilales; Thermofilaceae
Description: tRNA-OTHER
Rfam family: tRNA
About the family: Transfer RNA (tRNA) molecules are approximately 80 nucleotides in length. Their secondary structure includes four short double-helical elements and three loops (D, anti-codon, and T loops).
Source: RNAcentral
GGGCCGGUAGCUCAGCGUGGGAGAGCGCCCGCCUAGGCGCCAGUGAGCGCCGCGGCCUGCAGGCGUGCUUGCACGCUAAGAGCGCGGGAGGACCCGGGUUCAAGUCCCGGCCGGUCCACCA